UAAUUGGAAAAGGCUCUGCUGAACUUGGGAAAAGAUACAGAUCUGAUUUUAGCAAGAAACGAAUGAAUAACCAUGGCAUGGCUCCACAAAUGUACUCUGUUCAGUCCAUAUUUAGGGCCCUUCUACUACGUUAAUGUGUAUGUCUUUUAUCGGCCGAAAAUUGUGAAAAUUUCACGAUAAAGUUAGGCCUAAUCCCCAGUCAGCUUGUCUACGUGGCCGGGGCGACUGUCAUCCAUUCACAUUUGAGAAGACUUCUCAAGGGCCCAAUUAUCAUGCCAUGCUGCCAACUAGUCGUCCAUAAGACUGCACAUGGCAAGCCUUUCUGUCUACCAACCAGCCAGUAAUCUUGAACCAAGACAUGCUAGAAAAACCAGCAAAUAGCCAGUCAUCGGCAGGCUUUAAAGGGUGCACUAACCGUGCACUGGACUAGCACAGAGAAGAUGUUCAAGAAAGAAAUCCACAUAUUGCAGCGUGCCACACGAAGUUUCACUUUUUCAAACAUGCUGAGGUGCCAGUAAAAAAGGAGUGGAAUUUUCUCUCUGCACGUUGAAUUUCUGUGCUGUCCUCUUUCACGGCAAAGGCAACACUAAAAGUACCUUCUCAACGUUUACAUGCUAACGAGGUUCUGCGUGGCAGUCAUUAUUCUGAUUGUUAUCGGCUUUUCUCAAGUUGUCCUUGUACUUUACACGUAGAGGAAACUCCACAUAGAAUGAAAUAAAGAAUGGAGACAGUAGCUCUUCUAAACCCCAGCAACAAGCACUAACAGAUUAAGGUCACCAGACAAGGAAGCGUUUUCGGCCAGUUGGUUCGUGUCACUGAGACCUCUACAUUGAACAUAAGAUGUCCCCAGUAGCUACGUCAGUGCCUGUUUGGGCCUUUCUGUUUGACGACAAGAAGCUUUCAGGUCAUGCAGACAUCUAGGAGGACGAAGGAGCAGGAAAGGACUCGAACUUAACUGCAACUCAUUUCUAAUUAAACAAAAUGAACAAAUUAAUGUUACAUUAGCUGAAUCUUUCAAUUUCUAAUAAUAUCAGUUAAAUAAGUCAAAGGGAAUCAUGAGACAUACUUUUUCUGCACUAUGCACAAGUAUCGAUUUUUUUUUAACGGAAAGAAUUUAAUAUUAUCAAUUGUUGGUUUACAUGUCAAUCUUAAAUCCUGGGAAAGGUAAUCCGUGCCUAGCUUUAAAUUUGAAAAUUUGCUCGGAAAGAAUUCCACACUUGCCUCUGUGAACAUUUAGCCUCACCAACAAUUUUUUUAAACGACGUCUGUUAUUUUUAAGGUUUUAGAAGGGACAGGUUUUUUUAAGGUAAUGAAACUCAGAAGUUGGGAUACUGGCGUCUUUCCAUUUUCUUUAAACUCGAAACCAUUUUACUGGCACUUGCAGCUCCAUUGAAUAAGGAGGGCAAACUCAAUUUGAGAUUAAUUGGCCGAAAUCAGAAAGCUUGUCAGGGAAUGCCAUUUAUCUGCAGUAGUAUUUCACAGGGGCCAAGUCCAGUGCAAUUUUUGCUUCAGCAAUAAAAUGAGGCAAAGACUCAAAGAUAUGCAGCCUUCUUCCCUUUUUUGUAGCUUUUUGAGAAUGGAUGCAGUACACUGAUUAUUGAAUGGGUCGGUCUGUUUGAGUAAACGGUAAAUAUUAAAUUCCACACACGGACGCUGCUUGACACCCUGUACACGAAA
Molecule: long non-coding RNA, 1677 nt
Organism: Acanthaster planci (crown-of-thorns starfish)
Lineage: Eukaryota; Metazoa; Echinodermata; Asteroidea; Valvatida; Acanthasteridae
Source: RefSeq, a predicted model, not a curated record